Molecule: long non-coding RNA, 878 nt
Organism: Bos taurus (domestic cattle)
Lineage: Eukaryota; Metazoa; Chordata; Mammalia; Artiodactyla; Bovidae
Source: Ensembl
GUGUCUCUUUAAAAAGUAAUUUUAUUUAUUUAAUUUUGGCUAUGCAGGGUCUUUUUUGCUGCACAGGCCUUCUCUAGUUGUGGUGAAUGGCGGCUACUCUUCACAGUGGCAACUGGGUGAACCUUUGGGGGAAAAGAAAAAUCAAAACCCAGUACAGAACUUGUUCUGGAUCUGUUCCCUUUCAACACUCCUUGGUGAUGUCAGCGGAAGUUCUCUGGGGCACAUCAUUCUGUAAACAUGGGCAUCUCCAAGGGAUGAAGAUUCUGUUGCUCCAUUCUGUGCAAGGCGGUUGGCUAAGAAAAUUGUGACGUUUUCCAGUUUAACAAGUCAAAUACAAAACUCAGGGGACUUCAUAAGCCUCAUGAUGGAGCUGUGAAUAGCAUCCCAUUAUUGAUUGGAAAUACUGCAUUGGAAUGCCGCGGAAGAGCCCCAAACCAAAACUUUUCAGAUGCCUGAAGCUGUGAGCUUUCCAAUUAGGCUGAAAGUUUCCCUUGAUAACCAGUAGUGCUGAAGCUUUUAAUAUUGUUUUGGCCUAUCAGUUCUUAGCACAAUUUUCUAGUUAUGAAGGCCAGCGGAUCACUCGGCGUCAGCGAGAUAGCUCAUCCAUCCCACUUGCACGCUUUCUGAUCAAAUAUGCUAUCUGAAAAAAAAGGAAUCUUCAGCUUCACGUAAAUCGAUCGUAAUUGGGAGCAGUUCGUCUUUCCUUCUUCAAUGCUAUCUCCUUCUGUGCAGCCUAUUUUGCAUCCAGAGAUACAUUUGAAAGUCGAAAUCCCUUGAAGCUAAAUAUUCUAAACUGACAGAAGAAUUUCUAGUGGCACACCAGCCUGGAGCCAUGUUUUUAUGAGGACAUCACUUUCUAUUUCUAAGCUUCAGUGUGC